CUUGGUCANUNNGAGGAAGUAAAAGUCGUAACAAGGUCUCCGUUGGUGAACCAGCGGAGGAUCAUUACAGAGUUGCAAAACUCCCCAAACCAUCGUGAACGCUACCUAAACCGUUGCUUCGGCGGGCGGCGCCCUCGCGCGCCCCCCUGGGCCCGCACCGCGGGCGCCCGCCGGAGGUACACCAAACUCUUGAUAUGUAAUGGCCACUCUGAGUCUUCUAUACUGAAUAAGUCAAAACUUUCAACAACGGAUCUCUUGGUUCUGGCAUCGAUGAAGAACGCAGCGAAAUGCGAUAAGUAAUGUGAAUUGCAGAAUUCAGUGAAUCAUCGAAUCUUUGAACGCACAUUGCGCCCGCCAGUAUCCUGGCGGGCAUGCCUGUUCGAGCGUCAUUUCAACCCAUCAAGCCCACGGCUUGUGUUGGGGACCUGCGGCUGCCCGCAGGCCCUGAAAACCAGUGGCGGGCUCGCUAGUCACACCGAGCGUAGUAGCAUACGACCUCGCUCAGGGCGUGCUGCGGGUUCCAGCCGUAAAACGACCUUCGCGACCCCAAGGUUGACCUCGGAUCAGGUAGGAGGACCCGCUGAACUUAAGCAUAUCAAUAAGCGGAGG
Molecule: ribosomal RNA, 609 nt
Rfam family: 5.8S ribosomal RNA (bases 236-389)